GAUGAACGCUGGCGGCGUGCCUAAUACAUGCAAGUCGAGCGAACGGACGAGAAGCUUGCUUCUCUGAUGUUAGCGGCGGACGGGUGAGUAACACGUGGAUAACCUACCUAUAAGACUGGGAUAACUUCGGGAAACCGUAGCUAAUACCGGAUAAUAUUUUGAACCGCAUGGUUCAAAAGUGAAAGACGGUCUUGCUGUCACUUAUAGAUGGAUCCGCGCUGCAUUAGCUAGUUGGUAAGGUAACGGCUUACCAAGGCAACGAUGCAUAGCCGACCUGAGAGGGUGAUCAGCCACACUGGAACUGAGACACGGUCCAGACUCCUACGGGAGGCAGCAGUAGGGAAUCUUCCGCAAUGGGCGGAAGCCUGACGGAGCAACGCCGCGUGAGUGAUGAAGGUCUUCGGAUCGUAAAACUCUGUUAUUAGGGAAGAACAUAUGUGUAAGUAACUGUGCACAUCUUGACGGUACCUAAUCAGAAAGCCACGGCUAACUACGUG
This 497-nucleotide ribosomal RNA is filed under the name uncultured bacterium. RNAcentral describes it as "partial 16S ribosomal RNA". It matches the Rfam family "Bacterial small subunit ribosomal RNA", at positions 28 to 507 of the family's 1533-position model. The record is from RNAcentral.